RNAcentral lists this ribosomal RNA (482 nucleotides) under uncultured Sphingobacteriales bacterium. Its description in RNAcentral is "bacterial SSU rRNA". It matches the Rfam family "Bacterial small subunit ribosomal RNA", at positions 897 to 1382 of the family's 1533-position model. The record is from RNAcentral. Lineage: Bacteria; Pseudomonadati; Bacteroidota; Sphingobacteriia; Sphingobacteriales.
AAACUUAAAGGAAGUUGACGGGGCCGCACAAGCGGAGGAACAUGUGGUUUAAUUCGAUGAUACGCGAGGAACCUUACCUGGGCUUAAAUGUAGAGCGACAGAUCGGGAAACUGGUCCUUCUUCGGACGAUCUACAAGGUGCUGCAUGGUUGUCGUCAGCUCGUGCCGUGAGGUGUCGGGUUAAGUCCCAUAACGAGCGCAACCCUUAUCGUUAGUUGCCAGCGGGUAAUGCCGGGGACUCUAACGAAACUGCCGGUGUAAACCGUGAGGAAGGUGGGGAUGACGUCAAAUCAGCACGGCCCUUAUGUCCAGGGCGACACACGUGUUACAAUGGCCGGUACAGAGGGCAGCUACCUGGUGACAGGAUGCAAAUCUCCAAAACCGGUCUCAGUUCGGAUCGAAGUCUGCAACUCGACUUCGUGAAGCUGGAUUCGCUAGUAAUCGCGCAUCAGCCAUGGCGCGGUGAAUACGUUCCCGGGCCUU